GAUGAACGCUGGCGGCGUGCCUAAUACAUGCAAGUCGAGCGAACAGACGAGGAGCUUGCUCCUCUGACGUUAGCGGCGGACGGGUGAGUAACACGUGGAUAACCUACCUAUAAGACUGGGAUAACUUCGGGAAACCGGAGCUAAUACCGGAUAAUAUAUUGAACCGCAUGGUUCAAUAGUGAAAGACGGUUUUGCUGUCACUUAUAGCUGGAUCCGCGCCGCAUUAGCUAGUUGGUAAGGUAACGGCUUACCAAGGCGACGAUGCGUAGCCGACCUGAGAGGGUGAUCGGCCACACUGGAACUGAGACACGGUCCAGACUCCUACGGGAGGCAGCAGUAGGGAAUCUUCCGCAAUGGGCGAAAGCCUGACGGAGCAACGCCGCGUGAGUGAUGAAGGUCUUCGGAUCGUAAAACUCUGUUAUUAGGGAAGAACAGAUGUGUAAGUAACUAUGCACGUCUUGACGGUACCUAAUCAGAAAGCCACGGCUAACUACGUG
This 497-nucleotide ribosomal RNA is filed under the name uncultured bacterium. Its description in RNAcentral is "partial 16S ribosomal RNA". It matches the Rfam family "Bacterial small subunit ribosomal RNA", at positions 28 to 507 of the family's 1533-position model. The record is from RNAcentral.